CGGGGCGUAGCUUAGUCCGGUAGAGCGCCUGCUUUGGGAGCAGGAGGUCCCCGGUUCGAAUCCGGGCGCCCCGA
Molecule: transfer RNA, 74 nt
Filed under: Gemmatimonadota bacterium
Lineage: Bacteria; Pseudomonadati; Gemmatimonadota
Description: Gemmatimonadetes bacterium (sediment metagenome) tRNA-Pro
Rfam family: tRNA
About the family: Transfer RNA (tRNA) molecules are approximately 80 nucleotides in length. Their secondary structure includes four short double-helical elements and three loops (D, anti-codon, and T loops). Further hydrogen bonds mediate the characteristic L-shaped molecular structure. tRNAs have two regions of fundamental functional importance: the anti-codon, which is responsible for specific mRNA codon recognition, and the 3' end, to which the tRNAs corresponding amino acid is attached (by aminoacyl-tRNA synthetases). tRNAs cope with the degeneracy of the genetic code in two manners: having more than one tRNA (with a specific anti-codon) for a particular amino acid; and 'wobble' base-pairing, i.e. permitting non-standard base-pairing at the 3rd anti-codon position.
Source: RNAcentral